AGUCGAGCGAGAAAGGGUAGCAAUACCUGAGUAAAGCGGCGCACGGGUGAGUAACACGUGGAUAACCUGCCUCAAAGUGGGGAAUAACACCGGGAAACCGGUGCUAAAACCGCAUAUUCUGAUGAGAUCUGCGGAUUUUGUCAGGAAAGGAGCAAUUCGCUAUGAGAGGGGUCCGCGGCUGAUUAGCUAGUUGGUGAGGUAAUGGCUCACCAAGGCUUCGAUCAGUAGCCGGUCUGAGAGGACGGUCGGCCACACUGGAACUGAGACACGGUCCAGACUCCUACGGGAGGCAGCAGUGGGGAAUUUUUCGCAAUGGGGGCAACCCUGACGAAGCAAUGCCGCGUGGAUGAUGAAGUAUCUCGGUACGUAAAAUCCUUUCGACGGGGACGAAACCGCAAGGUUGACGGUACCCGUAGAAGAAGCCCCGGCUAACUCCGUGCCAGCAGCCGCGGUAAUACGGGGGGGGCGAGCGUUGUUCGGAAUUACUGGGCGUAAAGGGUGCGUAGGCGGCUUUCUAAGUCGGAUGUGAAAACUCUGGGCUCAACCCAGAGCCUGCAUCCGAAACUGGAGAGCUAGGGUUCUGGAGGGGAAAGCGGAAUUCCUGGUGUAGCGGUGAAAUGCGUAAAUAUCAGGAGGAACACCGGUGGCGAAGGCGGCUUUCUGGACAGAUACCGACGCUGAGGCACGAAAGCUAGGGGAGCAAACAGGAUUAGAUACCCUGGUAGUCCUAGCCCUAAACGAUGGAUACUUGCUGUGGGGGGGGAAUUGAAGCCCCUUGUGGCGAAGCUAACGCAUUAAGUAUCCCCGCCUGGGGAGUACGGUC
RNAcentral lists this ribosomal RNA (823 nucleotides) under uncultured Bacillota bacterium. Its description in RNAcentral is "bacterial SSU rRNA". It matches the Rfam family "Bacterial small subunit ribosomal RNA", at positions 60 to 887 of the family's 1533-position model. Lineage: Bacteria; Bacillati; Bacillota. The record is from RNAcentral.